CUGGUUGAUUCUGCCAGUGGUCAUAUGCUCGUCUCAAAGACUAAGCCAUGCAUGUCCAAGUUCAUAACUAUCAAAGUUGAAACUGCGAAGCGCUCAGUAAAUCAGUUAUAGUCUGUUCGAUCGUUCAAGCCCAUGGAUAACUGUGGCAAAUCUAUAGCUAAUACAUGUAAAAGCCCCCACCAUAGGGCACAUUUAUUGGCUAACCGACACCACCCGCAGCAAUGCGGGUAGCAGGUGAAUCUAGAUAACUGUGCUUACCGCAUAGCCUUGUGCUGGCGGUAGUUCGAUCGAAUUUCUGCCCUAUCAACUAGUUGGUAAGGUAGUGGCUUACCAAGGUAGUAACGGGUAACGGGGAAUCAGGGUUCGAUUCCGGAGAGGGAGCCUGAGAAACGGCUACCACAUCCAAGGAAGGCAGCAGGCGCGCAAAUUACCCAAUCCAGACAUUGGGAGGUAGUGACGAGAAAUACUGGGGGCGCUCCAUGUGAGUGCCAUCCGGAAUGAACGUAACACAAAAAAUUCGAUGAGGAUCUACUGGAGGGCAAGUCUGGUGCCAGCAGCCGCGGUAAUUCCAGCUCCAGUAGUGUAUAUCAACAUUGUUGCGCUUAAAACGCUCGUAGUUGGAUUACAGGGCUUCAAACACGGCCACUAAUUGUGUGGUCGUGGUCGUAGCAAGCUGACAGCYACUGGUUGUCGGUAGCUCGAUGGAGCCCUUUUGUCGCACUGGCCCCGGUUGGCGCCUUUACUGGUGUCGGCCGGUUGCCGGUGGAGUGUGCCUUGAAUAAAGCAUAGUGCUCAAAGCAGGCGUACGCUCGUGUGUAAUAGCAUGGAACGAAUAUAUCUUGACCGCCGCCAUGUUAGCGUCGUGUCACAGCGGCGUUGCAUGGGGGUAGGUUCGAUCAGUGUUGGUUGGAACCACGGUCUCAACGGUUAAAAGGGACACCUGAGGGCACUAGUACUUUGUGGCGAGAGGUGAAAUUCUUAGACCCACAAAAGACUGACUACUGCGAAAGCAUUUGCCAAGAGUGUUUUCAUUAAUCAAGAACGAAGGUCAGAGGAUCGAAGACGAUCAGAUACCGUCCUAGUUUUGACAGCAAACUAUGCCAGCAUAGGGUCGGAGCGGUCGCUCGUUAACAGCGAGUCGGACUACUGCGGGCCUUAAGGGAAACCUAGCUUUCGGGCUGCUGGGAGAAUAUCGCUGCAAGGCUGAAAUUUAAAGAAAUUGACGGAGAGGCACCACCAGGAGUGGAGCCUGCGGCUUAAUUUGACUCAACACGGGGAAACUCACCAGGUCCAGACAUUGGUAGGAUUGACAGACUGGUAGAUCUUUCAUGAUUCAGUGAAUGGUGGUGCAUGGCCGUUCUUAGUUGGUGGAGUGAUCUGUCAGGUCUAUUCCGGUAACGAGCGAGACCACGGCCUCUAGUUAUCAUGUCGUCGAGCCUUGNGCUCGUACUGGCCAACUAGAGGGACUAUUGGGGUUUAACCCAGAGGAAGCGUGGCAAUAACAGGUCUGUGAUGCCCUUCGAUGUCCUGGGCUGCACGCGCGCUACAAUGGCAGCAGUAGAGAGUAUGGCUAGCCAGAGAUGGUUGGUUAAACUGUAAAUCGCUGUCGUGAUAGGGAUUGAGCCUUGUAAUUAUUGCUCAUGAAAGAGGAAUUCCUCGUAAGCACUAGUCAUCAGCUAGUGUUGAAUACGUCUCUGCCUCUUGUACACACCGCCCGUCGCUA
Molecule: ribosomal RNA, 1723 nt
Filed under: Ceratomyxa sp. SAR
Lineage: Eukaryota; Metazoa; Cnidaria; Myxozoa; Bivalvulida; Ceratomyxidae
Description: SSU rRNA
Rfam family: Eukaryotic small subunit ribosomal RNA
Source: RNAcentral